CCCUUAGAUGUCCUGGGCCGCACGCGCGCUACACUGAUGCAUGCAACGAGUUUAUAACCUUGGCCUGAAAGGUCUGGGUAAUCUUUUGAACGUGCAUCGUGAUAGGGAUAGAUUAUUGCAAUUGUUAAUCUUGAACGAGGAAUUCCUAGUAAACGCGAGUCAUCAGCUCGCAUUGAUUACGUCCCUGCCCUUUGUACACACCGACCGUCGCACCUACCGAUUGAAUGGUUCGGUGAAGAUCUCGGACUUCGAUAUUUAUUCUUUAUUGAGUUUAUAUUGUGGGAAGUUAUCUAAACCUCAUCAUUUAGAGGAAGGUGAAGUCGUAACA
This 328-nucleotide ribosomal RNA is filed under the name uncultured eukaryote. Its description in RNAcentral is "partial 18S ribosomal RNA". It matches the Rfam family "Eukaryotic small subunit ribosomal RNA", at positions 1470 to 1796 of the family's 1831-position model. The record is from RNAcentral.